RNAcentral lists this transfer RNA (59 nucleotides) under Camelus bactrianus (Bactrian camel). It matches the Rfam family "tRNA", at positions 7 to 64 of the family's 71-position model. Rfam says of the family: Transfer RNA (tRNA) molecules are approximately 80 nucleotides in length. Their secondary structure includes four short double-helical elements and three loops (D, anti-codon, and T loops). Further hydrogen bonds mediate the characteristic L-shaped molecular structure. tRNAs have two regions of fundamental functional importance: the anti-codon, which is responsible for specific mRNA codon recognition, and the 3' end, to which the tRNAs corresponding amino acid is attached (by aminoacyl-tRNA synthetases). tRNAs cope with the degeneracy of the genetic code in two manners: having more than one tRNA (with a specific anti-codon) for a particular amino acid; and 'wobble' base-pairing, i.e. permitting non-standard base-pairing at the 3rd anti-codon position. The record is from Rfam by way of RNAcentral. RNAcentral also lists the same sequence under 2 other names. Lineage: Eukaryota; Metazoa; Chordata; Mammalia; Artiodactyla; Camelidae.
AUAGCUCAGUGGUAAAGUGCAUGCUUAGCACGCAUGAGGUCCUGGGUUCAAACUCCAGU